Oreochromis niloticus (Nile tilapia) is the source of this 193-nucleotide long non-coding RNA. RefSeq lists it as uncharacterized. The transcript is spliced from 3 exons. Lineage: Eukaryota; Metazoa; Chordata; Actinopteri; Cichliformes; Cichlidae. The record is from RefSeq and is a predicted model, not a curated record.
AAAUCCCAGCCUGUGUCUGCUGCAGAGAGACAGUGCAUCUGCUCAUACUGGGACCAGUCUGCUUCAUCAGGAGACUCGUCCUGUCCCCAGUGUGGAGAAAGAUCCAGAAGCAGAGCUGGACUGCAGACAGCCAGUCAGAGCAGCUGUGUACAAACAGAUGUUGGUCUGCAGGAGGUUUUAGAUGAACAUAAGA